Molecule: ribosomal RNA, 441 nt
Filed under: uncultured bacterium
Lineage: Bacteria
Description: partial 16S ribosomal RNA
Rfam family: Bacterial small subunit ribosomal RNA
Source: RNAcentral
CCUACGGGAGACAGCAGUGAGGAAUAUUGGUCAAUGGGCUUACGCCUGAACCAGCCAAGUCGCGUGAGGGAAGACUGCCCUAUGGGUUGUAAAGAUCUGUCAGUGGGGACGAAACUUGACGGUACCACAGAGGAAGCACCGGCUAACUCCGUGCCAGCAGCCGCGGUAAUACGGAGGGUGCAAGCGUUGUCCGGAAUCAUUGGGCGUAAAGAGUUCGUAGGUGGCAUAUUAAGUCUGGUGUUAAAUGCAGAAGCUCAACUUCUGUUCGGCACUGGAUACUGGUAAGCUUGAAUGCGGUAGAGGUAAAGGGAAUUCCUGGUGUAGCGGUGAAAUGCGUAGAUAUCAGGAGGAACAUCGGUGGCGUAAGCGCUUUACUGGGCCGUAAUUGACACUGAGGAACGAAAGCCGGGGUAGCAAAUGGGAUUAGAUACCCUAGUAGUC